RNAcentral lists this ribosomal RNA (449 nucleotides) under uncultured bacterium. RNAcentral describes it as "partial 16S ribosomal RNA". It matches the Rfam family "Bacterial small subunit ribosomal RNA", at positions 329 to 794 of the family's 1533-position model. The record is from RNAcentral.
UGCCAGACUCCUACGGGAGGCAGCAGUGGGGAAUAUUGCACAAUGGGGGAAACCCUGAUGCAGCGACGCCGCGUGAGUGAAGAAGUAUUUCGGUAUGUAAAGCUCUAUCAGCAGGGAAGAAAAUGACGGUACCUGACUAAGAAGCCCCGGCUAACUACGUGCCAGCAGCCGCGGUAAUACGUAGGGGGCAAGCGUUAUCCGGAUUUACUGGGUGUAAAGGGAGCGUAGACGGCCAGACAAGUCAGAAGUGAAAGCCCAGGGCUCAACCCUGGGACUGCUUUUGAAACUGCCGGGCUGGAGUGCAGGAGAGGCAGGCGGAAUUCCUAGUGUAGCGGUGAAAUGCGUAGAUAUUAGGAGGAACACCAGUGGCGAAGGCGGCUUUCUGGACUGUAACUGACACUGAGGUACGAAAGCGUGGGGAGCAAACAGGAUUAGAUACCCCAGUACGC